RNAcentral lists this ribosomal RNA (467 nucleotides) under uncultured bacterium. RNAcentral describes it as "partial 16S ribosomal RNA". It matches the Rfam family "Bacterial small subunit ribosomal RNA", at positions 28 to 507 of the family's 1533-position model. The record is from RNAcentral.
GACGAACGCUGGCGGCGUGCUUAACACAUGCAAGUCGAACGGAAAGGCCCUGCUUUUGUGGGGUGCUCGAGUGGCGAGCGGGUGAGUAACACGUGAGUAACCUGCCCUUGACUUUGGGAUAACUUCAGGAAACUGGGGCUAAUACCGGAUAGGAGCUCCUGCUGCAUGGUGGGGGUUGGAAAGUUUCGGCGGUUGGGGAUGGACUCGCGGCUUAUCAGCUUGUUGGUGGGGUAGUGGCUUACCAAGGCUUUGACGGGUAGCCGGCCUGAGAGGGUGACCGGCCCCAUGGGACUAGGGGACGGACCAGGACUCUACCGGGAGCAACGGGGGGGAAUUUUACACAAUGGGGCGGAGGCUGAUGGCAGCACCGCCGGGUCGGGAAUACCGGCUUUGGGGUGGAAAACAGUUUCGCCUGUGACGAAGCGUGAGUGACGGUAAUGGGUAAAGAAGCACCAGCUAACUACGUG